GACGAACGCUGGCGGCGUGCCUAAUACAUGCAAGUAGAACGCUGAAGGAGGAGCUUGCUUCUCUGGAUGAGUUGCGAACGGGUGAGUAACGCGUAGGUAACCUGCCUGGUAGCGGGGGAUAACUAUUGGAAACGAUAGCUAAUACCGCAUAAUAGUAGAUGUUGCAUGACAUUUGCUUAAAAGGUGCAAUUGCAUCACUACCAGAUGGACCUGCGUUGUAUUAGCUAGUUGGUGGGGUAACGGCUCACCAAGGCGACGAUACAUAGCCGACCUGAGAGGGUGAUCGGCCACACUGGGACUGAGACACGGCCCAGACUCCUACGGGAGGCAGCAGUAGUGAAUCUUCGGCAAUGGACGGAAGUCUGACCGAGCAACGCCGCGUGAGUGAAGAAGGUUUUCGGAUCGUAAAGCUCUGUUGUAAGAGAAGAACGAGUGUGAGAGUGGAAAGUUCACACUGUGACGGUAUCUUACCAGAAAGGGACGGCUAACUACGUG
Molecule: ribosomal RNA, 495 nt
Filed under: uncultured bacterium
Lineage: Bacteria
Description: partial 16S ribosomal RNA
Rfam family: Bacterial small subunit ribosomal RNA
Source: RNAcentral